UGCCGCCUCUCGCCCCCACGUCUCUCGGUGAUGCUGUUCAACCCGUACCGUCGGGAAGCCCCAGGUGAUUUAUUUUAACACACGGCGACGCUGGUUGGCGGCUCAGAGGUGAGCGCGCUCGGUGCCGCCGGGCCGCCCCGCGCCGGCUUCUCCUGCGCCCCCGGCGCCCGACCCCCCCCACCGCCCAGCUGAGGUCUGCGGGGAGAAGGAAGGGCGAAGCCGAUACCUGUUUUUCCUCUUAUUUAUGCUCCCCCUCUCCUGCUGGUCUCCAAGAGCUGCGUCUCCGCCGCUGCCCUGCCAACCCCUGCCCUGUGUCUCAGGCGCCCGCGCGCGCAGGGCAGAGGACGAAGCAAGGUGACACCCUGCUGGUUCGUCGGGUCGGAGAGGCCGGGGUGUCCCCGGGCACCGGCACGGCAGCAGAGCCUUUGCCACCUCCUCGGUGGGGAGAGGCGGUAGCAGCCGCACGCGCAGCCCCAGCCAAGGGGCUCCCACGUGAAAGCCACGUGUCUCAGUUCCCUGCCUGCCGACAUCCCCACGUGCCGGGUGUGCGAGAGCAUCCUCGCGUGCCGGGGCUGUGUCGGGGAGAGGCCAUCCAUGCGGGGCUGCGCCAGGGACCGCCGAGGCCCGCAGGACGGGUACGUCCCCGCUCCUGGCUCACGCGGGACAGCAGCGCUGCGGGCUGCGUCCUGCAGCUCCUCGCAGUUGCAAGCGGGCAGAGGGCCGAGCGAAGGCCAGCAGGGCCGGGACAGCUCCAGCGGGUAUCGCCAAGCCCCAGCCGAGGGCUGUUGUCUCCGCUCUUGCAGGCGCUAGAGGUGCCUGGCAGCCCUGGGGCAGCCGCAGCACAGAGGCUGUGAGUUCCGCAGCCGGCUCGCGCCUGGGAUGUCGAAGCGUUGCUGCAGCGGCACCGAGAUACUCGGUGCCGGGGGAUGAGGACGGAUCCUGGGACGCUUACGGCGCAGGCCCUGCUGCUGCACCCCUCUGUGCCAGCACAGCGCUGCCAGCUCCAAAUCCCCCGCGGCAGGGCAGGAGCGGG
This 1033-nucleotide long non-coding RNA is filed under the name Apteryx owenii (little spotted kiwi). RNAcentral describes it as "lncRNA (ENSAOWG00000002742.1)". Lineage: Eukaryota; Metazoa; Chordata; Aves; Apterygiformes; Apterygidae. The record is from RNAcentral.